UACGUAGGUGGCGAGCGUUAUCCGGAUUUAUUGGGUUUAAAGGGUGCGUAGGCGGCUUAAUAAGUCAGUGGUUAAAGGUAGCAGCUUAACUGUUUUACAUGCCACUGAUACUGUUGAGCUUGAGUUGACAGAAGGCAGAUAGAAUUUCUGGUGUAGCGGUGAAAUGCUUAGAUACCAGAAGGAAUACCGAUUGCGAAGGCAGUCUGCUGCAGUCACACUGACGCUGAGGCACGAAGGUGCGGGGAUCAAACAGG
Molecule: ribosomal RNA, 254 nt
Filed under: uncultured bacterium
Lineage: Bacteria
Also listed under: 1 other name
Description: partial 16S ribosomal RNA
Rfam family: Bacterial small subunit ribosomal RNA
Source: RNAcentral